GUUCCUUCCCUAAUACACCCGGUCCCGUAAUAUGUAAUCCCCCCAUCCAGCACCUAUUACAGAAUCCUUACCCAUUUCUUAUUUUCGUUUCCUUUUUCUGCCCUCAUAGAUUUAUGUUUCUUCUUCUAUCGAUAUUGCAGUUCUGUCCUCAUUUCUUCUGCUUUCAUAACAAAUCCUCAACAUUGUCUUCAUCGGAGGCCGAUUUUUUUCUCUCCUUUAUUGUUUUUUUUUUUGGUUUGGGUUUUGUUUGAAUGCAAGCUUUUGUUCCAUGGAUUUGUUAUCUCAAUCGGCUGACACUUUAUCAACGCUCUCUUUAGGGUUAGUUUCAUCUUCGCCGCAAUCUCACCGUACCCAGAUCCCUGAUGACUCUAUUAGUCUCGAGGUGGACGGAAGGGACCGACUCAGAUUUUGCACUCUCCAAACUCUGAACGCAACUCAGAUUUUUAUCAGGACCGACUCAGUUUAAUGAUCAAUCACGCUAGAAAGGUAAGAGAGUAACGAAGGAUCGAUCAUCGCCAAAGUCAACGAACCGCUCAAAAUAAUGGCUGGAAACUUAGGAUGCGUCGUCUUAUCCGUUGAUGGCAACGAAGGAAGCAUGGACGCCUUACGAUGGGCACUCGAUAAUCCCAUCUAGAAGUUCCUGCAUUCACGGCAGCUAUCGAGGCGCAUCAGAAGAGAAUCACUGAUGCGAUCUUGAACCAUGCUCUUCAGAUUUGCGCUGAAAAGAAGGCAAACGUGAAAACUCAAGUUGUGAUUGGGGAUCCAAAGGAAAAAAUUUGUGAAGUAAUUGAAAAUGUGCAUGCUGAUUUGCUUGUGAUAGGUUCCCGAGCUUUUGGCCCUAUUAAAAGAAUGUUGUGGUUGAUCAAGCACUUGGGCCUGGAAAAAGAGUUACCGUUGCAAUGGGAACUAACCAAAACUUGGAUUAUGUUGAACUAAGAUCUUGAGGCAGUACUGCAACUUGUUAACAAAUAUGCCUUCUGGUUUUUGGUGCUUUAGAGGAAACAUGUGCUCUUGGCAAUUUAGCCUUCCUGGAGAGAAUUGGCAGAGAUUGCUUUUUCCCUUAACUUGUGGAAUGGACAGAUGAAGUUGGAGGUUAUUUUCAAUGGCAACUUUGGACAGUAUUCGUUUUCCUGCUAGAUUGGUGAGCUAUUUUGUUUGAAGUGAAGAAUUGGUUUCAUGGAAGGCCAAUUGGAGUUGAGAGCAGGGUGAAAGAGAUAUUGUAUUGGCUUGAAUUUCUUCUAUUGAAUGCUUGCUUUAUAUUUUUAGUUGAAGUGAGAUAUUGAGGCAGUACUUCCGUUUAAUUCAGAAUUGUUGUAAAUUCAAUCGAGUUCUUGAUGAUAAUUCGAUAUGGUUAUGUUUUUAUUUUUA
Long non-coding RNA from Gossypium raimondii (Peruvian cotton), 1368 nucleotides. RefSeq lists it as uncharacterized. NCBI's taxonomy places the organism in Eukaryota, Viridiplantae, Streptophyta, Magnoliopsida, Malvales, Malvaceae. The transcript is spliced from 6 exons. The record is from RefSeq and is a predicted model, not a curated record.